AGCCUCUUGCCUAUCCGUACCUCCUCGUGGUACUGGCCGGGGUACCAGUAACCUUAGGGAAGACCGGGGAACUCUGGUCGAAUGCUGACAGGGAAGG
This 97-nucleotide ribozyme is filed under the name Aedes aegypti (yellow fever mosquito). Its description in RNAcentral is "drz-agam-1 ribozyme". It matches the Rfam family "drz-agam-1 ribozyme", at positions 13 to 82 of the family's 82-position model. Lineage: Eukaryota; Metazoa; Arthropoda; Insecta; Diptera; Culicidae. The record is from Rfam by way of RNAcentral.